Long non-coding RNA from Homo sapiens (human), 534 nucleotides. RefSeq lists it as uncharacterized. The transcript is spliced from 3 exons. The record is from RefSeq and is a predicted model, not a curated record. Lineage: Eukaryota; Metazoa; Chordata; Mammalia; Primates; Hominidae.
GGAACUAGCCAUACACCUGAGUUCCCCUUACGGAGUCUUCUGUUUUCUCAGGAGGUGGGCACAGCUGGGUGGUGUUGCUCUAUGGUAGAACAACAUGUACCUCAGAAUGCCAUCAUGAGGAUUAAGAUGCAGCCUAUACACCAAGAAGCUGUCUUCAGGACACCUCCAGGACAAAAACCAGGAAUGCCUACAAGGGGUACUGCAGGAAAACGGGAAGAGAGAAGUGCUGGGAAUGCAGGUAUGGUGGCAAGACUCUGACUCCAAAUAGUAAUAAUAACGUACAAAACUGGUAAAUGUCAGGAGAAUUUAAGUAAACUAGAUAUUUAAAAAUAAUGGCACCAUAUUACACUAUUACACUACAUACAGAAUUACCCAAAGUCUCUUUUUUUAUUCAGAUAAAAAGAGUUUACAGCAAUCUGAGGUAAUCACAAAAUACAAUCCUUUGGACAUUUUCAGCAAGAGGAAAUUUUAGUUGGAGAGUUUCUGGAUCACCUUGCUCUAAAUCUUAUGAAUUUUAUUUUCCUUUAUUAUAAC